RNAcentral lists this unclassified non-coding RNA (412 nucleotides) under fungal sp. RNAcentral's name for it is "partial internal transcribed spacer region". The stretch from base 1 to 46 matches the Rfam family "Eukaryotic small subunit ribosomal RNA", at positions 1786 to 1831 of the family's 1831-position model. Lineage: Eukaryota; Fungi. The record is from RNAcentral.
AAGUCGUAACAAGGUUUCCGUAGGUGAACCUGCGGAAGGAUCAUUAACACGUAUCCAACGUUAAAACAACCCCCGUGCACUUUCAGCUUGCUCCUGUAGCCCGUGAAAACAGCAAUCCCUGGGAAAUCAUUGUUGACCAGAGCCCGGUGACCCGGUCGCCGGCCGUGUGGGCCUACAGCGAUCGUGACUGCGCCAUCCUUACAUAAUCAAUGACACUUUCAGACACUGAUUACUUGGGGAUGCCAGGUCACUAGAUGCAAUCGCUCAACCGUAGCUAUAAAAUAUCACAAUCGGCAGAGGUCCCUGACUCAAAAGCUGCCCCUUUACGACAACACAGUACGAAUUGGCCGCGCGUGAAAUUCGCACGGCACCAAAAACCGAACAACUGUUAACAAUGGAUAUCUUGGUUCUC